RNAcentral lists this ribosomal RNA (468 nucleotides) under uncultured bacterium. RNAcentral describes it as "partial 16S ribosomal RNA". It matches the Rfam family "Bacterial small subunit ribosomal RNA", at positions 28 to 507 of the family's 1533-position model. The record is from RNAcentral.
GACGAACGCUGGCGGCGUGCUUAACACAUGCAAGUCGAACGGAAAGGCCCUGCUUUUGUGGGGUGCUCGAGUGGCGAACGGGUGAGUAACACGUGAGUAACCUGCCCUUGACUUUGGGAUAACUUCAGGAAACUGGGGCUAAUACCGGACAGGAGCUCCUGCUGCAUGGUGGGGGUUGGAAAGUUUCGGCGGUUGGGGAUGGACUCGCGGCUUAUCAGCUUGUUGGUGGGGUAGUGGCUUACCAAGGCUUUGACGGGUAGCCAGCAUGGGAGGGUGACCGGCCACAUUGGGACUGAGGUACGGCCCAGAGUGCAACGGGGGGCAGCGGUGGGGAAUAUUGCACAAUGGGAGGAAGUCGGAUGCAACAACGCCGCGUGCGGAAAGACGGCCUUCGGGGUGUAAACCGCUUUCGCCUGUGACGAAGCGUGAGUGACGGUAAUGGGUAAAGAAGCACCGGCUAACUACGUG